GGCCGCUCUGGGCCAGCAGGUGGCAGUCGAGUUUGCUGAGCUCGGCGUCGGUGAGAACCACGGCGAUGGUGGUGUUCUCGACGCCGAGUCGCAC
Molecule: transfer RNA, 94 nt
Filed under: Actinoplanes derwentensis
Lineage: Bacteria; Bacillati; Actinomycetota; Actinomycetes; Micromonosporales; Micromonosporaceae
Description: tRNA-Ser
Source: RNAcentral